RNAcentral lists this ribosomal RNA (1104 nucleotides) under Actinomycetes bacterium. Its description in RNAcentral is "bacterial SSU rRNA". It matches the Rfam family "Bacterial small subunit ribosomal RNA", at positions 338 to 1450 of the family's 1533-position model. Lineage: Bacteria; Bacillati; Actinomycetota; Actinomycetes. The record is from RNAcentral.
CCUACGGGAGGCAGCAGUGGGGAAUAUUGCACAAUGGGCGGAAGCCUGAUGCAGCAACGCCGCGUGAGGGAUGACGGCCUUCGGGUUGUAAACCUCUUUUAGCAGGGAAGAAGCGAGAGUGACGGUACCUGCAGAAAAAGCGCCGGCUAACUACGUGCCAGCAGCCGCGGUAAUACGUAGGGCGCAAGCGUUAUCCGGAAUUAUUGGGCGUAAAGAGCUCGUAGGCGGUUUGUCGCGUCUGCUGUGAAAUCCCGAGGCUCAACCUCGGGCCUGCAGUGGGUACGGGCAGACUAGAGUGCGGUAGGGGAGAUUGGAAUUCCUGGUGUAGCGGUGGAAUGCGCAGAUAUCAGGAGGAACACCGAUGGCGAAGGCAGAUCUCUGGGCCGUAACUGACGCUGAGGAGCGAAAGGGUGGGGAGCAAACAGGCUUAGAUACCCUGGUAGUCCACCCCGUAAACGUUGGGAACUAGUUGUGGGGACCAUUCCACGGUUUCCGUGACGCAGCUAACGCAUUAAGUUCCCCGCCUGGGGAGUACGGCCGCAAGGCUAAAACUCAAAGGAAUUGACGGGGACCCGCACAAGCGGCGGAGCAUGCGGAUUAAUUCGAUGCAACGCGAAGAACCUUACCAAGGCUUGACAUACACCAGAACACCGUAGAAAUACGGGACUCUUUGGACACUGGUGAACAGGUGGUGCAUGGUUGUCGUCAGCUCGUGUCGUGAGAUGUUGGGUUAAGUCCCGCAACGAGCGCAACCCUCGUUCUAUGUUGCCAGCACGUAAUGGUGGGAACUCAUGGGAUACUGCCGGGGUCAACUCGGAGGAAGGUGGGGAUGACGUCAAAUCAUCAUGCCCCUUAUGUCUUGGGCUUCACGCAUGCUACAAUGGCCGGUACAAAGGGCUGCAAUACCGUGAGGUGGAGCGAAUCCCAAAAAGCCGGUCCCAGUUCGGAUUGAGGUCUGCAACUCGACCUCAUGAAGUCGGAGUCGCUAGUAAUCGCAGAUCAGCAACGCUGCGGUGAAUACGUUCCCGGGUCUUGUACACACCGCCCGUCAAGUCAUGAAAGUCGGUAACACCUGAAGCCGGUGGCCCAACCCUUGUGGAGGAG